GAUGAACGCUAGCUACAGGCUUAACACAUGCAAGUCGAGGGGAAACGACAUCGCAAGCUUGCUUUUGAUGGGCGUCGACCGGCGCACGGGGGAGUAACGCGUAUCCAACCUGCCCACCACUUGGGGAUAACCUUGCGAAAGUAAGACUAAUACCCAAUGAUAUCCCACGAAGACAUCUGAAUGGGAUUAAAGAUUUAUCGGUGAUGGAUGGGGAUGCGUCUGAUUAGCUUGUUGGCGGGGUAACGGCCCACCAAGGCAACGAUCAGUAGGGGUUCUGAGAGGAAGGUCCCCCACAUUGGAACUGAGACACGGUCCAAACUCCUACGGGAGGCAGCAGUGAGGAUUAUUGGUCAAUGGGCGAGAGCCUGAACCAGCCAAGUAGCGUGCAGGAAGACGGCCCUAUGGGUUGUAAACUGCUUUUAUAAGGGAAUAAAGUGGGUCACGUGUGACUUUUUGCAUGUACCUUAUGAAUAAGGACCGGCUAAUUCCGCG
This 492-nucleotide ribosomal RNA is filed under the name uncultured bacterium. RNAcentral's name for it is "partial 16S ribosomal RNA". It matches the Rfam family "Bacterial small subunit ribosomal RNA", at positions 28 to 507 of the family's 1533-position model. The record is from RNAcentral.